UAUUUCAGUUGGUAGAGCAUGGUGUUUGCAACACCAGGGUUGUGGGUUCGAUUCCCAU
This 58-nucleotide transfer RNA is filed under the name Salmo salar (Atlantic salmon). It matches the Rfam family "tRNA", at positions 8 to 63 of the family's 71-position model. Rfam says of the family: Transfer RNA (tRNA) molecules are approximately 80 nucleotides in length. Their secondary structure includes four short double-helical elements and three loops (D, anti-codon, and T loops). The record is from Rfam by way of RNAcentral. Lineage: Eukaryota; Metazoa; Chordata; Actinopteri; Salmoniformes; Salmonidae.